CCACUCUCAGCCCUCUGCUAUUCACCUUCUCCUCCCUCCUUCCCAAGUCACUGCCUUCCCUUUAUUGAUUGAGACACUUGCCUGGCAACUCCUCCUCUGGAAACACAGGACCUCAUAGGAUGUUUGUGGAAUUAAAAGGGUUUCUCCAUUCCUCCCUCCACAAUGGCAAAGUCACUCCGGACAUUAAAAGGGAGCUCUUGGGUGAGGGCGCAAACCCAGUCUGGAAAUUUCACUAAGCGCGCUGCUUUGUCGGAAGGCACCAUCUAAACAGACCCGAUCAGUGGCUCCAGGGAGACACCUCAGAGCUGAAACAGCGGAUUCCAGUUCCCUCCCUCCAUUGAGAAGCAUUUUUGAACCCAGACAUGCUACUGGAUCAGCUCUGAAGGGGAAAGCUUGCGGAGUCCCCUGAGAAGAAGACGUAUUUAGAGCUUCUGUCUAUCUCCGGUGAUGCUUCUGUAAGGUGGUGUACGACAAUGGUGAACGGCGGGGAGAUCAGCAGACUGAGUUGGCCAGUUCCCCUUCUGGGUACACAGCGGCACGGCAUUCUCCCACCCUUCCGAAUACAGAUGGAGCCACGCGAAAGGAUGAGCGUCACUUCUGGUCAGCGCUGGGGGGACGUGAGGGAGGGCAGCAUGUGUCGGCCCGGAUCUUUGAGUGAUUUGGAUAACCACACUUGCCUGGAGACUCAACGUGGGCUAUGGAGCCUGAGAGGCGAAGUCACAGAGAUUUGGGGCCGUUUGUUGCUGUGGCAUUCCCUAACCUCCUCUGACCGAUAAACACAUCAGCUUAAUAUCUAGUAUCUCGCUUUUACC
Long non-coding RNA from Leptonychotes weddellii (Weddell seal), 812 nucleotides. RefSeq lists it as uncharacterized. The record is from RefSeq and is a predicted model, not a curated record. Lineage: Eukaryota; Metazoa; Chordata; Mammalia; Carnivora; Phocidae.